This 431-nucleotide ribosomal RNA is filed under the name uncultured bacterium. RNAcentral describes it as "bacterial SSU rRNA". It matches the Rfam family "Bacterial small subunit ribosomal RNA", at positions 29 to 506 of the family's 1533-position model. The record is from RNAcentral.
ACGAACGCUGGCGGCAUGCCUAACACAUGCAAGUCGAACGAGACCUUCGGGUCUAGUGGCGCACGGGUGCGUAACGCGUGGGAAUCUGCCCUUGGGUUCGGAAUAACAGUUAGAAAUGACUGCUAAUACCGGAUGAUGUCUUCGGACCAAAGAUUUAUCGCCCAAGGAUGAGCCCGCGUCGGAUUAGCUAGUUGGUAGGGUAAAAGCCUACCAAGGCGACGAUCCGUAGCUGGUCUGAGAGGAUGAUCAGCCACACUGGGACUGAGACACGGCCCAGACUCCUACGGGAGGCAGCAGUGGGGAAUAUUGGACAAUGGGCGAAAGCCUGAUCCAGCAAUGCCGCGUGAGUGAUGAAGGCCUUAGGGUUGUAAAGCUCUUUUACCCGGGAUGAUAAUGACAGUACCGGGAGAAUAAGCCCCGGCUAACUCCGU